UGGGAUGUUGCUCAGUGGUAGAGCACUUGCCUAGCAUGAGUCAAGCCCUGGGUUCAAUCCCCAGCACUGUAA
Molecule: non-coding RNA, 72 nt
Organism: Ictidomys tridecemlineatus (thirteen-lined ground squirrel)
Lineage: Eukaryota; Metazoa; Chordata; Mammalia; Rodentia; Sciuridae
Source: Rfam